AUUGAACGCUGGCGGCAGGCCUAACACAUGCAAGUCGAGCGGAUGACGGGAGCUUGCUCCUCGAUUCAGCGGCGGACGGGUGAGUAAUGCCUAGGAAUCUGCCUGGUAGUGGGGGACAACGUUUCGAAAGGAACGCUAAUACCGCAUACGUCCUACGGGAGAAAGCAGGGGACCUUCGGGCCUUGCGCUAUCAGAUGAGCCUAGGUCGGAUUAGCUAGUAGGUGAGGUAAUGGCUCACCUAGGCGACGAUCCGUAACUGGUCUGAGAGGAUGAUCAGUCACACUGGAACUGAGACACGGUCCAGACUCCUACGGGAGGCAGCAGUGGGGAAUAUUGGACAAUGGGCGAAAGCCUGAUCCAGCUAUGCCGCGUGUGUGAAGAAGGUCUUCGGAUUGUAAAGCACUUUAAGUUGGGAGGAAGGGCAGUAAGUUAAUACCUUGCUGUUUUGACGUUACCGACAGAAUAAGCACCGGCUAACUCUGUGCCAGCCGCCGCAGUAA
Molecule: ribosomal RNA, 500 nt
Filed under: uncultured bacterium
Lineage: Bacteria
Description: partial 16S ribosomal RNA
Rfam family: Bacterial small subunit ribosomal RNA
Source: RNAcentral